CCUACGGGAGGCAGCAGUAGGGAAUCUUCCGCAAUGGACGAAAGUCUGACGGAGCAACGCCGCGUGAACGAUGAAGGCCUUCGGGUCGUAAAGUUCUGUUGUUAGGGAAGAACAAGUGCUAGUUGAAUAAGCUGGCACCUUGACGGUACCUAACCAGAAAGCCACGGCUAACUACGUGCCAGCAGCCGCGGUAAUACGUAGGUGGCAAGCGUUGUCCGGAAUUAUUGGGCGUAAAGCGCGCGCAGGCGGUUUCUUAAGUCUGAUGUGAAAGCCCCCGGCUCAACCGGGGAGGGUCAUUGGAAACUGGGAAACUUGAGUGCAGAAGAGGAAAGUGGAAUUCCAAGUGUAGCGGUGAAAUGCGUAGAGAUUUGGAGGAACACCAGUGGCGAAGGCGACUUUCUGGUCUGUAACUGACGCUGAGGCGCGAAAGCGUGGGGAGCAAACAGGAUUAGAUACCCUGGUAGUCCACGCUGUAAACGAUGAGUGCUAAGUGUUAGAAGGUUUCCGCCUUUAGUGCUGAAGUUACGCAUUAAGCNCUCGCCGUGGAGGUACGUCGCGAGACGUAGAACGUUAAAUAGAAGUUAGUACGGUACGUGAGACGUGCCGACGGACGACGACGAGGGAGGUUAGG
RNAcentral lists this ribosomal RNA (631 nucleotides) under uncultured bacterium. Its description in RNAcentral is "bacterial SSU rRNA". The stretch from base 1 to 542 matches the Rfam family "Bacterial small subunit ribosomal RNA", at positions 338 to 873 of the family's 1533-position model. The record is from RNAcentral.